Musa acuminata AAA Group (dessert banana) is the source of this 1153-nucleotide RNA transcript. RefSeq lists it as uncharacterized. Lineage: Eukaryota; Viridiplantae; Streptophyta; Magnoliopsida; Zingiberales; Musaceae. The record is from RefSeq and is a predicted model, not a curated record. The transcript is spliced from 4 exons.
UGUGUGUUGGACCCAUGGAGGCGGCAUCGGAACCCUCCGCGCAUUAGCACCGAUCUUGAGGCAUGUCCCGCCUAUCGACACUCGCAAUCGCUCGCCACCGCGAAACCCUCGCCAUGGCUCUCCUCUCUGUCCUUUCCUCCGCGCUUCCCUUCCUCCACCCCAUCCGAAUCCCAGCCUCAAACCUUUCUCCUUGCCGCUUCCACCUUCGACCCCGCCGCUCGCUCCGCCGCCUCUCCUCCUCGCCAGUCCCGCCGCUCCUUCCCUCCCCCGUUGCCUUCUCCGCCUCUGCGCUCCCACUGGGGGAGCUCGUCGAGAGGGACUGGUCCUUCCUCGACGCCGAUGCCACCAAUAACGAGGAGCAGCGGGCCGAUAAGGCCCGCCGGAUCAUCUCGGCCGCUGACAUCAGGGGGACCGGCUCCAGGGUUCUCGCCGCACUUCCGACCCUAAGUUUCGUCGACCGGGUGGUCGAGUCGGCCCCCUGCGAGCUCCUGGUGGCGAUCCAUGAGUCGCUUUUCGUGCUCGCCAUGAUCAAGGAGAGCCACGACCGGGUGCGGUGCUGGCAGGGCGGGGUCGACGCCGUGCCCGAGAGGUUCUCGCCCUUUGAUGCCGUGUUCAUCUGCUAUUUCCCUGGGAUGGGCGUUUCGAUUGAUCAGCUGUUGAGCUCGCUUGCUGGGAAGUCCUCUCCAGGUGCAAGGGUGGUUCUCAGCUUUGAUCAAGGGAGGGAGGUCAUAGAGCAAAACCAUAGGCAGCAAUAUCCUGAUAUGGUGACUAAUAACUUGCCUGAUAGAACAGAGCUAGGAAGGGUGGCGAUGGAACAUUCGUUUCAUAUAACAGAAUUUGUUGAUGAGCCCACCUUUUACCUUGCUGUCUUGAGAUUCCAUGACUAAGAAAACUCAGACCUCAGUCAACGUUUCGUCUCCGAUAUAAGUAAUCGUCAUCGAGAAAGAGAUGACAUGAUCUGUAUCAGGGUUAGUUCCAGUCUUCAUCAAUCUAUGGAAGGAAAGGAUGACAUGGUUUUGGAACCCCGUCGACGGAAGACUGCGUCACCUGCGGUCCUUCGAUUGGUUGAAUCCCGUGUAAGCUGCGAUCUGGACAAAGAGAAUCCAUACAUGAUUUGCCACGUCAAUAACUCUCAGUCUGCUCAAGAAAAGUC